RNAcentral lists this ribosomal RNA (557 nucleotides) under uncultured bacterium. RNAcentral describes it as "bacterial SSU rRNA". It matches the Rfam family "Bacterial small subunit ribosomal RNA", at positions 1 to 530 of the family's 1533-position model. The record is from RNAcentral.
CUCUUUGAUUCUGGCUCAGGAUAAGCGCUGGCGGCGCACAUAAGACAUGCAAGUCGAACGGAAGUCGUUGUAAUGAUAUAGACAUGGACGGAGAACUUGUUCAAAGAAAGUGAAAGUUGACUUACAACAAUGGCUUUAGUGGCGGACUGGUGAGUAACACGUAAGCAACCUGCCUAUCAGAGGGGAACAACAGUUAGAAAUGACUGCUAAUACCGCAUAUGCCUUAGUAACACAUGUUACAAAAGGAAAAGGAGCAAUCCGCUGAUAGAUGGGCUUGCGUCUGAUUAGAUAGUUGGUGGGGUAAUGGCCUACCAAGUCGACGAUCAGUAGCCGGACUGAGAGGUUGAACGGCCACAUUGGGACUGAGAUACGGCCCAGACUCCUACGGGAGGCAGCAGUCGGGAAUAUUGCGCAAUGGAGGAAACUCUGACGCAGUGACGCCGCGUGCAGGAAGAAGGUUUUCGGAUUGUAAACUGCUUUAGACAGGGAAGAACAAAGACAGUACCUGUAGAAUAAGCUCCGGCUAACUACGUGCCAGCAGCCGCGGUAAUACGUAG